This is a long non-coding RNA of Topomyia yanbarensis, 1592 nucleotides long. RefSeq lists it as uncharacterized. The transcript is spliced from 4 exons. The record is from RefSeq and is a predicted model, not a curated record. NCBI's taxonomy places the organism in Eukaryota, Metazoa, Arthropoda, Insecta, Diptera, Culicidae.
CAGCGGUAUUAUUUCGCACGGAGGCUCGCGAAAUUUUGACAGGUUGCAAUGAAAAAAUAUAAGAAAACACAAGAUUGGCAAUUUUUUUCAUCGCAACCUGUCAAAAUUUCGUGGUUUAGAAAUUCAAUAUUUCGAAUUUGAAUGCACACCCAAACAAAGCAAAUCAGCUCAACUAAUCUUGUCUCAACAUCCUGGAUCUGGCAAUCAGCCAACCAACAUUAAAUCGAUACAACCGCAGCAGUACCAACUACUCCAAAUCCAGCAACAGCCCCUCAAAAAAGGACCACAUAGCAAUUACUGCUCAAACGAACAACAGGAGUUUACGAAUGAUGGACACAUCGGAAAACAUUUCAUCGGCACAUUCUGCCUUAAAACAUGUCUGCCACUAUUUUUGAAAAUAUCACUGCCUACACAGUGCUCGUGAUUCCAUUCCAGCAGCAGCAAGCAAUCACUAUUCGAGUGCUUAUCGCCAACAUUUCACAGCAAGCUCAGCAGCAGAACCACCUUCAACCACAACAUCAGAAAAUUAAGAUUUCUUCCAGACCAUGACCAUCAUCCUAAAGGUCGGUAGCAAUAACGUUCAACCGACGGUACAACCUGGUCAGCAACCGCAAUUAGUGCAAUAGAUCCAACCCAAAUGUAGAUUUACCAACUGCAAAAAAGAUAGCAACAGCACAUUCAAACACAGUAGCAGCAGCAUACUAUACUGUACCAUGCGGUGUGCAGGACUUUUUUAUUCAGUUGGUGCGGCAAGAUCGAACACCAACAACAUAAUAUCAUGGUAAUCACCCAGCAAGAGAACGCAGUGAUAAUGGGCCAACAGAAAACACAACAUCAAGAUGCAGGGAAGUGAGCAGGCAAAAGAAGGCAUCGUUUUUUCCGCAAGGUCGCUCUGGUCAAAAUUUCAGCGAAUUGCAAGGAAUAAACCACCCGAGGGACAGUACCCGUGCUGAUUCAGGACGAUUUCCCAUACUUUGUACCUUGCUAUUGAAUUUUAAUACCCGAUCGAAACGAUGGCAAGCGCUGCCGAUAACUGGGUCAAAAAGACGACGGAUCAAGAAAUUUCUGCACUCGGUUAGCGAACUGAGUACAUAUCAUCAAGGAUAAGGAUUCAGAGCCGGCGGCUGGCAGUCCAGAGAAAGAGAAUGCGGAAAAACCUAGUCCACCGGCAGUAGAACCAAAGCUGCACCUGAUGUUUGGAGUUCGGUAGCUACAGAAAUUCUGACUCUAGCAGCUCCUGAAGAAAAACAAGCUGCAAGAGAAAAUGGAGAAACACCUUCCUCCGCGGAAGAUGCAGAGGCAUUCAAGUAAGUCGAAAUCUGCAGAAAAUUUUGAUUAGGACAUAAGGAACAUUGACAGCCUCUCUUUGUUUACUUUCUCUUUCGAUUAUGACGUCACUAUAACACUUUGCACUAAUUUUCCAGUACAUAGCCGAUGGUUUUUACUAAAAUAUUAGGCAAAGAGUUGAGUACUAAAUAUUGAAACGACCGAGUAACAAACAGAAGAGAAAGACCCCAAAGAGAAUCUCAUUGUUGCUUACGUCCUAUUCUAAAUUUUCUCCCGAAAUAUUUAGUAUCAGCUUUAAAAUUAUC